UACGAAGGUGGCAAGCGUUACUCGGAAUUACUAGGCGUAAAGGGCGGGUAGGUGGUUUGAUAAGUCUGUUGUGCAAGCUCCCGGCUUAACUGGGAGAGGUCAACGGAAACUAUCAGACUUGAGUAUAGGAGAGGGUACUGGAAUUCCCGGUGUAGCGGUGAAAUGCGCAGAGAUCGGGAGGAACACCAAUGGCGAAAGCAGGUACCUGGACUAUUACUGACACUCAGCUGCGAAAGCUAGGGGAGCAAACAGG
RNAcentral lists this ribosomal RNA (253 nucleotides) under uncultured bacterium. Its description in RNAcentral is "partial 16S ribosomal RNA". It matches the Rfam family "Bacterial small subunit ribosomal RNA", at positions 524 to 776 of the family's 1533-position model. The record is from RNAcentral.